Molecule: ribosomal RNA, 441 nt
Filed under: uncultured bacterium
Lineage: Bacteria
Description: bacterial SSU rRNA
Rfam family: Bacterial small subunit ribosomal RNA
Source: RNAcentral
AACGAACGCUGGUGGCAUGCCUAGCACAUGCAAGUCGAACGAAGCCUUCGGGCUUAGUGGCGCACGGGGUGCGUAACACGUGGGAAUCUGCCCUUCGGUUCGGAAUAACAGUUAGAAAUGACUGCUAAUACCGGAUGAUGACGUAAGUCCAAAGAUUUAUCGCCGAAGGAUGAGCCCGCGUAGGAUUAGGUAGUUGGUAGGGUAAUGGCCUACCAAGCCGACGAUCCUUAGCUGGUCUGAGAGGAUGAUCAGCCACACUGGGACUGAGACACGGCCCAGACUCCUACGGGAGGCAGCAGUGGGGAAUAUUGGACAAUGGGCGAAAGCCUGAUCCAGCAAUGCCGCGUGAGUGAUGAAGGCCUUAGGGUUAUAAAGCUCUUUACCAGGAUGAUAAUGACAGUACCUGGAGAAUAAGACUCCGGCUAACUACCGUGCCAGCAG